RNAcentral lists this ribosomal RNA (468 nucleotides) under uncultured bacterium. Its description in RNAcentral is "partial 16S ribosomal RNA". It matches the Rfam family "Bacterial small subunit ribosomal RNA", at positions 28 to 507 of the family's 1533-position model. The record is from RNAcentral.
GAUGAACGCUGACAGAAUGCUUAACACAUGCAAGUCUACUUGAAUUUGGGUUUUUUAACUUAGAUUUGGGUGGCGGACGGGUGAGUAACGCGUAAAGAACUUGCCUCACAGCUAGGGACAACAUUUGGAAACGAAUGCUAAUACCUGAUAUUAUGAUUAUAAGGCAUCUUAGAAUUAUGAAAGCUAUAUGCGCUGUGAGAGAGCUUCGCGUCCCAUUAGCUAGUUGGAGAGGUAACGGCUCACCAAGGCGAUGAUGGGUAGCCGGCCUGAGAGGGUGAACGGCCACAAGGGGACUGAGACACGGCCCUUACUCCUACGGGAGGCAGCAGUGGGGAAUAUUGGACAAUGGACCAAGAGUCUGAUCCAGCAAUUCUGUGUGCACGAUGACGUUUUUCGGAAUGUAAAGUGCUUUCAGUUGGGAAGAAAAAAAUGACGGUACCAACAGAAGAAGUGACGGCUAAAUACGUG